CGGGAUGUGGCGCAGUUUGGCUUAGCGCACCUGCUUUGGGAGCAGGGGGUCGGAGGUUCAAAUCCUCUCAUCCCGACCA
RNAcentral lists this transfer RNA (79 nucleotides) under Actinomycetes bacterium. RNAcentral describes it as "tRNA-Pro". It matches the Rfam family "tRNA". From Rfam's summary of the family: Transfer RNA (tRNA) molecules are approximately 80 nucleotides in length. Their secondary structure includes four short double-helical elements and three loops (D, anti-codon, and T loops). RNAcentral also lists the same sequence under 1 other name. Lineage: Bacteria; Bacillati; Actinomycetota; Actinomycetes. The record is from RNAcentral.